RNAcentral lists this long non-coding RNA (949 nucleotides) under Homo sapiens (human). Its description in RNAcentral is "HSALNT0384908". Lineage: Eukaryota; Metazoa; Chordata; Mammalia; Primates; Hominidae. The record is from RNAcentral.
GCUCGACUCUCUUCCCACACAGUUCCUGUCUGAGGAGGCUGCCUCCCCCAUAUAUAGUAGGAUGCCUACUUUCAGAAGGUAGUAGAUGAAGCCUAGAGUUGCCACCACACCUGCAAAGGCAGCCACAGCAGCCACAGCUUUGGAACCAACAUCUCCAGCAGUCUUGUGCCCUUUGGUGUCCAUAGCACCUACAAAGGAAGCAGACAUUUGAGUCUUAAGUAUUUUUAAAUAAGGGUAAGUGGAAGCCUUACAUAAGGCUCCCCAGAGAAGGGGGUAAAACUAAGCCUUCAACAGGCUUAUUUCAGAAGUUUGCAACAUUGAAUAAACUUACCUCGUGAGCCAACCUCCUCCCCUGUUUCACUCCUACUCUUCUCCCCACUGCUCCCACUUGCUUUUAGAUCAGAUGAGCCGACACCUGGGAAGAACCUGAGAGUUUAGUACAACAUCUUCAUGCUAGUCGAUGUGGUUAGCUGUCCCCUGAGGGUGUGAUCCCACAGGUUGUUCAUUAAGGCUAUCUCAGGUAAGGGUAUGUGUUAACAGGCACAAACUAAUACACACUUAAGUUUGGCCAUAGCAUGUUAAGAUGCACAUGCUCUGACCUAAUCUUGCUAGAAACAUAUCUUAAAUCUUUGACUACUAUACAAGAAAUUCAAGAGGAUUUUUUUUUUUUUUUUUUGUGGCCGGGUGUGGUGGCUCACACCUGUAAUCCCAGCACUUUGGGAGGCUGAGGCAGGCGGAUCACUUGAGGUCAGGAGUUUGAGACCAGCCUGGCCAACAUGGUAAAACCUUUUCUCUACUAAAAAUAAUAAAAUUAGCUGGGCACAGUGGCAGGUGCCUGUAAUCCCUGAUACUCGGGAGGCUGAGGCAGGAGAAUCACUUGAACCUGGGAGGCAGAGGUUCAAGUGAUUCUUCUGCCUCAGCCUCCCAAGUAGCUGGGACUACAGGCAUA